This 519-nucleotide ribosomal RNA is filed under the name uncultured Acidobacteriota bacterium. RNAcentral describes it as "bacterial SSU rRNA". It matches the Rfam family "Bacterial small subunit ribosomal RNA", at positions 355 to 864 of the family's 1533-position model. The record is from RNAcentral. Lineage: Bacteria; Pseudomonadati; Acidobacteriota.
UGGGGAAUUGUUCGCAAUGGGCGCAAGCCUGACGACGCAACGCCGCGUGGAGGACGAAGAUCUUCGGGUCGUAAACUCCUGUCGAGCGGGAAGAACACCUUCCUGGUGAACAACCGGGAGGGCUGACGGUACCGCUAAAGGAAGCCCCGGCUAACUCCGUGCCAGCAGCCGCGGUAAUACGGGGGGGGCAAGCGUUGUUCGGAAUUACUGGGCGUAAAGGGCUCGUAGGCGGCCAACUAAGUCCGACGUGAAAUCCCCAGGCUCAACCUGGGAACUGCGUCGGAUACUGGAUGGCUUGAAUUCGGGAGAGGGAUGCAGAAUUCCAGGUGUAGCGGUGAAAUGCGUAGAUAUCUGGAGGAAUACCGGUGGCGAAGGCGGCAUCCUGGACCGACAUUGACGCUGAGGAGCGAAAGCUAGGGGAGCAAACGGGAUUAGAUACCCCGGUAGUCCUAGCCCUAAACGAUGAAUGCUUGGUGUGACGGGUAUCGAUCCCUGUCGUGCCGAAGCUAACGCAUUAAG